GACGAACGCUGGCGGCGUGCUUAACACAUGCAAGUCGAGCGGUAAGGCCCUUUCGGGGGUACACGAGCGGCGAACGGGUGAGUAACACGUGGGUGACCUGCCCUCAGCUCUGGGAUAAGCCUGGGAAACCGGGUCUAAUACCGGAUAUGACUCCAUGACGCAUGUUGUGGGGUGGAAAGCCUUGUGCGGCUGAGGAUGGGCCCGCGGCCUAUCAGCUUGUUGGUGGGGGAUGGCCUACCAAGGCGACGACGGGUAGCCGGCCUGAGAGGGCGGACCGGCCACACUGGGACUGAGACACGGCCCAGACUCCUACGGGAGGGCAGCAGUGGGGAAUCUUGCGCAGUGGGCGAAAGCCUGACGCAGCGACGCCGCGUGAGGGAUGACGGCC
Molecule: ribosomal RNA, 388 nt
Filed under: uncultured bacterium
Lineage: Bacteria
Description: bacterial SSU rRNA
Rfam family: Bacterial small subunit ribosomal RNA
Source: RNAcentral